RNAcentral lists this ribosomal RNA (429 nucleotides) under Pseudomonadota bacterium. RNAcentral's name for it is "Proteobacteria bacterium partial 16S ribosomal RNA". It matches the Rfam family "Bacterial small subunit ribosomal RNA", at positions 355 to 776 of the family's 1533-position model. Lineage: Bacteria; Pseudomonadati; Pseudomonadota. The record is from RNAcentral.
UGGGGAAUAUUGGACAAUGGGCGAAAGCCUGAUCCAGCCAUGCCGCGUGUGUGAAGAAGGUCUUCGGAUUGUAAAGCACUUUAAGUUGGGAGGAAGGGCAGUAAGCGAAUACCUUGCUGUUUUGACGUUACCGACAGAAUAAGCACCGGCUAACUCUGUGCCAGCAGCCGCGGUAAUACAGAGGGUGCAAGCGUUAAUCUGAAUUACUGGGCGUAAAGCGCGCGUAGGUGGUUCGUUAAGUUGAAUGUGAAAGCCCCGGGCUCAACCUGGGAACUGCAGCCAAAACUGGCGAGCUAGAGUAGGGCAGAGGGUGGUGGAAUUUCCUGUGUAGCGGUGAAAUGCGUAGAUAUAGGAAGGAACACCAGUGGCGAAGGCGACCACCUGGGCUCAUACUGACACUGAGGUGCGAAAGCGUGGGGAGCAAACAGG